GUGAGCAAGAGCUAUGGUAGGAGCAUAUUGGAGCAUGUUGGAGCGUGCGACGCGAACAAACCUAAUACGUCGCUUAUGUAUCGCGAACCCGCAAUACGCCGCGACAUCGUUUCCUCCGUGAAGUCAUAUUCCUCACUCACAUUCAUGACGUCAUCCCCUGCCCUCUCCGUGACGUCAUACCCCCGCGCCCCAGUAUCCCCUGCCCCCCUCCCCAUCGGAGGACCUGCAUAUACUCCACUGUCCUUGGAUCUUGUGAGCUUCCGCUACAGUUGAUGCCCUAGAGAGGAUGUACACAUCCUGUUUUAAUAUAGCGACGCCUCUAACAUAUCGAAGAACCUCAUCUUUGGUGAGUUGACGCAAGAUCUCCACAAUAUAUUCGCUGCUAAGCCAGCCGUUGAAGACCACUCGCAGUUUCGUCGUGGUGCUAAACUCCUUCAACAUCCUGCAUGGCAAGUAACAAUUGGCUCGCGAGAUCUUCCUUUCCUGAUGCUGAAGCCGAUUAUCUCCACGAAGACAUCAGUGCCUAAGAGCAUGUCGAUACCGUCGGAGAACUCCGAAUCGGCCAAUUCGAGUCCUCGAAGAUGUGGCCACUCUCUCAGUGAUGUGCUUGACACUCCCGCAUAUAUGUUCACACAUAGCUGGGCGCUGUCAACGAAUUGCAUCCGUUCCCCGCACAGUUUUUCUUCUUGAAGGCCUCAUAACAUCAUAAGAUAGUGAUCUUUACGACACAAAGAGCAGUGCUCUCUUUCCUUCUGAGUAGGAUGUGCGCGAGCGACCUUCGAAGCACCUGACUUCUCUGGAUUCGCAUCGAGCUUGCUACCAAGUGUAGCUUCCAUUGUCAACAACCGGCGUUCCAGGAGUUCUUGCAGUUCCGCGAACGAUGGUGUAUACGUACAGGUCUUCUUCAUUGAUGAUGGAUCGCCCUAUAUUAGCGACAACUCCUGCAGUAUUUCUGGAGCAAUGAUAAAGCUUGCGUAGAUCAGUGGUUGACUCGGACUUUAGUUUUGGCAAGACCAUGGCGUAGAAGGACCGAAUCAGCAGUCUCGUAUUUUCGCACUAAUCGAUUCACGCAAAGGAACUCCUGUAUGAUGCGCGAAAUUGCACAGAGAAAAAAGUAUUUAUUUACUGAAAUCUGGCUCGAAGGACCAAAAAUAUAAUGGAAUGGAAAAGAAGCGAGCACGAAAUAAAGAGACGCACAUAAUACUUUACACACGAAUGAAUUUAUUUUAACAGCAUUUUCGAUUUCACUACAAAAAUGAAAUAUACAUACACUACUCACAACAAUUACAGCUGUCUGAAUUUUAUCUAUUUUUA
Molecule: long non-coding RNA, 1314 nt
Organism: Cyphomyrmex costatus
Lineage: Eukaryota; Metazoa; Arthropoda; Insecta; Hymenoptera; Formicidae
Exons: 5
Source: RefSeq, a predicted model, not a curated record